RNAcentral lists this ribosomal RNA (582 nucleotides) under Gordonia bronchialis. RNAcentral's name for it is "bacterial SSU rRNA". It matches the Rfam family "Bacterial small subunit ribosomal RNA", at positions 65 to 660 of the family's 1533-position model. Lineage: Bacteria; Bacillati; Actinomycetota; Actinomycetes; Mycobacteriales; Gordoniaceae. The record is from RNAcentral.
UAGGGCUCUGCCCAGCUUGCUGGGUACUCGAGUGGCGAACGGGUGAGUAACACGUGGGUGAUCUGCCCCUGACUUUGGGAUAAGCCUGGGAAACUGGGUCUAAUACCGGAUAUGACCUUACAUCGCAUGGUGUUUGGUGGAAAGCUUUUGCGGUUGGGGAUGGGCCCGCGGCCUAUCAGCUUGUUGGUGGGGUAAUGGCCUACCAAGGCGACGACGGGUAGCCGACCUGAGAGGGUGAUCGGCCACACUGGGACUGAGACACGGCCCAGACUCCUACGGGAGGCAGCAGUGGGGAAUAUUGCACAAUGGGCGCAAGCCUGAUGCAGCGACGCCCCGUGAGGGAUGACGGCCUUCGGGUUGUAAACCUCUUUCACCAGGGACGAAGCGUGAGUGACGGUACCUGGAGAAAAAGCACCGGCCAACUACGUGCCAGCAGCCGCGGUAAUACGUAGGGUGCGAGCGUUGUCCGGAAUUACUGGGCGUAAAGAGCUCGUAGGCGGUUUGUCGCGUCGUCUGUGAAAUUCUGCAGCUUAACUGUAGGCGUGCAGGCGAUACGGGCAGACUUGAGUACUACAGGGGAGA